UAUGAGCCAUUUUCUUCAGUACGAAAGGACAAGAAAAUAAGACUAUACCCCCAGCAAGUCUUCACCCCCUGAAAUAAUAUCAAACCCCACGCACCAUCUCACCCAAAAACAGGGCC
RNAcentral lists this ribosomal RNA (116 nucleotides) under Varanus griseus griseus. RNAcentral's name for it is "partial 16S ribosomal RNA". Lineage: Eukaryota; Metazoa; Chordata; Lepidosauria; Squamata; Varanidae. The record is from RNAcentral.